RNAcentral lists this ribosomal RNA (468 nucleotides) under uncultured bacterium. RNAcentral describes it as "partial 16S ribosomal RNA". It matches the Rfam family "Bacterial small subunit ribosomal RNA", at positions 28 to 507 of the family's 1533-position model. The record is from RNAcentral.
GACGAACGCUGGCGGCGUGCUUAACACAUGCAAGUCGAACGGACAGACCCUGCUUUUGUUGCGUGCUCGAGUGGCGAACAGGUGAGUAACACGUGUGUAACCUCCCCUUGUCUUUCUGAUAACUUCAGGAAACUGGGGCGCAUACCGGGUAGAAGCUCCUGCUGCGUGGUGUUGAUUGGAAAGUUUCGGCGGUUGGGGAUGGACUAGCGGGUUAUCAGCUUCUUGGUGGGGUAGUGGCUUACCAAGGCUUUGACGGGUAGCCGGCCUGAGAGGGUGACCGGCCACCAUGGGACUGAGAUACGGCCCAGACGGCUACGGGAGGCAGCAGUGGGGAAUAUGGCACAAUGGGCGGACGUCUGAUGCAGCAACGUCGGGUGCGGGAUGACGGCCUUUGGGGUGUAAACCGCUUUCGCCGGUGACGAAGCGUGAGUGACGGUAAUGGGUAAAGAAGCACCGGCUAACUACGUG